GAUGAACGCUGGCGGCGUGCUUAACACAUGCAAGUCGAACGAUGAAGCCCAGCUUGCUGGGUGGAUUAGUGGCGAACGAGUGAGUAACACGUGAGUAACCUGCCCUUAACUCUGGGAUAAGCCUGGGAAACUGGGUCUAAUACCGGAUAGGAGCGUCCACCGCAUGGUGGGUGUUGGAAAGAUUUAUCGGUUUUGGAUGGACUCGCGGCCUAUCAGCUUGUUGGUGAGGUAAUGGCUCACCAAGGCGACGACGGGUAGCCGGCCUGAGAGGGUGACCGGCCACACUGGGACUGAGACACGGCCCAGCCUCCUACGGGAGGCAGCAGUGGGGAAUAUUGCACAAUGGGCGCAAGCCUGAUGCAGCGACGCCGCGUGAGGGAUGACGGCCUUCGGGUUGUAAACCUCUUUCAGUAGGGAAGAAGCGAAAGUGACGGUACCUGCAGAAGAAGCACCGGCUAACUACGUG
RNAcentral lists this ribosomal RNA (466 nucleotides) under uncultured bacterium. Its description in RNAcentral is "partial 16S ribosomal RNA". It matches the Rfam family "Bacterial small subunit ribosomal RNA", at positions 28 to 507 of the family's 1533-position model. The record is from RNAcentral.